Molecule: long non-coding RNA, 2074 nt
Organism: Mytilus californianus (California mussel)
Lineage: Eukaryota; Metazoa; Mollusca; Bivalvia; Mytilida; Mytilidae
Exons: 2
Source: RefSeq, a predicted model, not a curated record
UUCAAGUUGGUCCAGAUCGGGGUCCAAAAUUAAACUUUGUUUGAUUUCAACAAAAAUUGAAUAUAUGGGGUUCUUUGAUAUGCUGAAUCUAACCAUGUAUUUAGAUUUUUGAUUUUUGGGCCCCGUUAUCAACUUUGUCCACAUUGAGGUCAAAAGGGUCCAAAAUUAAACUUUGUUUGAUUUCAACAAAAAUUGAAUAUAUGGGGUUCUUUGAUAUGCUGAAUCUAACCAUGUAUUUAGAUUUUUGAUUUUUGGGCCCCGUUAUCAACUUUGUCCACAUUGAGGUCAAAAGGGUCCAAAAUUAAACUUUGUUUGAUUUCAACAAAAAUUGAAUAUAUGGGGUUCUUUGAUAUGCUGAAUCUAACCAUGUAUUUAGAUUUUUGAUUUUUGGGCCCCGUUAUCAACUUUGUCCACAUUGAGGUCAAAAGGGUCCAUAAUUAAACUUUGUUUGAUUUCAUCAAAAAUUGAAUUAUUGGGGUUCUUUGAUAUGCCAAAUCUAACCGUGUAUUUAGAUUUUUAAUUUUGGGUCCCGUUUUUAAAUUGGUCUACAUUAAGGUCCAAAGGGUCCAAAAUUAAACUUAGUUUGAUUUUAACAAAAAUUGAAUUCUUGGGGUUCUUUGAUAUGCUGAAUCUAAACAUGUUUUUUUUUAUUUUGAUUAUGGGCCCAGUUUUCAAGUUGGUCCAAGUUGGGGUCCAAAAUUAAACUUUGUUUGAUUUCAACAAAAAUUGAAUAUAUGGGGUUCUUUGAUAUGCUGAAUCUAAACAUGUAUUUAGAUUUUAGAUUUUUGGCCCAGUUUUCAAGUUGGUCCAAAUUGGAGUCCAAAAUUAAACUUUGUUUGAUUUCAACAAAAAUUGAAUUUAUGGGGUUCUUUGAUAUGCUGAAUCUUACCAUGUAUUUAGAUUUUUUAUUUGUGGGCCCGCUAUCAAAUUGGUUCAUAUUGAGGUCAAAAGGGUCCAAAAUUAAACUUUGUUUGAUUUCAUCAAAAAUUUAAUUAUUGGGGUUCUUUGAUAUGCCAAAUCUAACCGUGUAUUUAGAUUUUUAAUUUCGGGUCCCGUUUUUUAAAUUGGUCUACAUUAAGGUCCAAAGGGUCCAAAAUUAAACUUAGUUUGAUUUUAACAAAAAUUGAAUUUUUGGGGUUCUUUGAUAUGCUGAAUCUAAACAUGUGUUUAGAUUUUUGAUUAUGGGACCAGUUUUCAAGUUGGUCCAAGUUGGGGUCCAAAAUUAAACUUUGUUUGAUUUCAACAAAAAUUGAAUAUAUGGGGUUCUUUGAUAUGCUGAAUCUAAACAUGUAUUUAGAUUUUAGAUUUUUGGCCCAGUUUUCAAGUUGGUCCAAAUUGGGGUCCAAAAUUAAACUUUGUUUGAUUUCAACAAAAAUUGAAUAUAUGGGGUUCUUUGAUAUGCUGAAUCUUACCAUGUAUUUAGAUUUUUUUAUUUUGUGGGCCUGCUAUCAAAUUGGUUCAUAUUGAGGUCAAAAGGGUCCAAAAUUAAACUUUGUUUGAUUUCAUCAAAAAUUGAAUUAUUGGGGUUCUUUGAUAUGCCAAAUCUAACCGUGUUUUUAGAUUUUUAAUUUUGGGUCCCGUUUUUUAAAUUGGUCUACAUUAAGGUCCAAAGGGUCCAAAAUUAAACUUAGUUUGAUUUUAACAAAAAUUGAAUUCUUGGGGUACUUUGAUAUGCUGAAUCUAAACAUGUGUUUAGAUUUUUGAUUAUGGGACCAGUUUUCAAGUUUGUCCAAGUUGGGGUCCAAAAUUAAACUUUGUUUGAUUUCAACAAAAAUUGAAUAUAUGGGGUUCUUUGAUAUGCUGAAUCUAACCAUGUAUUUUGAUUUUGGACAUUGGACCAUAAUAGGUAAAUUAAAAAAAUUGAAGUUCUUAGACCACAUUCUUUCUGUGUCAGAAACCUAUGCUGUGUCAAAUAUUUAAUCACAAUCCAAAUUCAGAGCUGUAUCAAGCUUGAAUGUUGUGUCCAUACUUGCCCCAACUGUUCAGGGUUCGACCUCUGCGGUCGUAUCAAGCUGCGCCCAGCGAAGCAUUUUAUUGGUUAUUAUCCUGAAUAUUAUAAUAGAUAGAGAUAAAC